AUUGAACGCUGGCGGCAUGCUUUACACAUGCAAGUCGAACGGUAACGCGGGGGCAACCCUGGCGACGAGUGGCGAACGGGUGAGUAAUACAUCGGAACGUGUCCUGGAGUGGGGGAUAGCUCGGCGAAAGCCGGAUUAAUACCGCAUACGCUCUGAGGAGGAAAGCGGGGGACCUUCGGGCCUCGCGCUGCGGGAGCGGCCGAUGUCGGAUUAGCUAGUUGGUGGGGUAAAGGCCCACCAAGGCGACGAUCCGUAGCUGGUCUGAGAGGAUGAUCAGCCACACUGGGACUGAGACACGGCCCAGACUCCUACGGGAGGCAGCAGUGGGGAAUUUUGGACAAUGGGGGCAACCCUGAUCCAGCCAUGCCGCGUGAGUGAAGAAGGCCUUCGGGUUGUAAAGCUCUUUCGGACGGAACGAAACGGUUACGGUGAAUAAUCGUGACUAAUGACGGUACCGUAAGAAGAAGCACCGGCUAACUACGUGCCAGCCGCCGCGGUAA
Molecule: ribosomal RNA, 500 nt
Filed under: uncultured bacterium
Lineage: Bacteria
Description: partial 16S ribosomal RNA
Rfam family: Bacterial small subunit ribosomal RNA
Source: RNAcentral